Long non-coding RNA from Oncorhynchus nerka (sockeye salmon), 1960 nucleotides. RefSeq lists it as uncharacterized. The record is from RefSeq and is a predicted model, not a curated record. The transcript is spliced from 4 exons. Lineage: Eukaryota; Metazoa; Chordata; Actinopteri; Salmoniformes; Salmonidae.
CAGCAGAGGACUACGGAACAAUAUUUCGGACUAACUUUGAUCGAAAACCACUAAAUGAAUGUCUUAUAUGGCUACAUUUCUUAAGAAGUGUGGGUUUUCGCCUUCGACGAUAUUAUCGGACUUUUUUUUCGGUUCAAGCGAAGUUAUUAGCAGUUGAAAGCAAAGCUCGCGAAUAGCCUAUAGUCGCUAGUAAUAGUCUAGCCGAUAUCUAAAAUAAAUAAUCUUACCUUGUGAUUCAAUUAUAAUUAAAGCUGAUUUCAAGGAGAAUGUGUAUAGAUUUACUUUUUUUUUUUUCGGAAGUCACCGCCUACGUAUGCAGAGCGUGUGUCAUUGCUGUGACUGGAUCCGACACCACUACGGUCACUUGAGAGCAUAAUACCUUUCCCUGCUGGACCAGAUGGUGAGUUAUUAGCACAUUGUAAAAGGAGACUGAAUGCAUGUAUUAAGGACAGCAAAACAACCAACCAAAUAAAAUAGUCAUGCGUUUCAUGUUUAGCAUCUGUGUUAGAAAACUGUUAGCCUAUAUUUCAAUAUACAUACUAAAAGGGCGCUAAGGCUAUAAUGACAGAGAUAUCAAGAGACGCUAUCUACAUUAGGCCUACUGUACUUGCAGUAUAAGCUAUACUUUAUGUCUGUCUUGAUUGCUCUUGAAGUAUUUGACUCAUGACUUAACACACUAUAUUGAUUGUUUUCCGGGGAGGAGAUAUCACAAAGCAGAAUGCCCCAGUCUUUUUCCCAACAUCACUUAACAGACACAUAGAUGAUGCCGAGGUUGAGGACAAAGUCAGAUUCCGGAACGAGGCCAUCUAUAAAAUCACAAAACUGUUUGAUGGGAAUAUGAAGUCCGUCACCUGGAACAAGAAAAACCUGUACGAUUUCCUCAAAAUUCUAGAAAACCAAUUUGAGAACCUUAAUUCCUGCAACUACAGUGCACAGGUUUGGGAGCUCAUCAGGAAAGAGAUGAAAUGUCAUCUGCAAAGAUUGGAUAUCCUUGUGGCACAGAUGUACUGAUCAUCCAGACUCAUUUCAGAAGCUUGUAGUGGAAAUUUCCUGUAUUUACCAAAUCAUGAGAGCAAACCACCACAAGUCAGAGUUAUCAUAAAGUCCAUCUUUAAUUAUUGUGAGCUCCAUCACAACCCUGUGACUCUCAGAUCAAUUCAGUGUCUAUAAAUGAAUUUUCUGAGAGUGCUUACACAUUGCAACUGAGAUCCUUUAUAGCAAAGACACACAUAGCCAGACAGCAUUGGCUAUAAAUUAUCGUUCAGCUUUGUCUCCUAAACUAUGUUCCUAUCUCACUCUUGGUACCACUCAGGACCAACACCAUUACCCCACCCAAUGGCAUAUAUCAAAUACACCCCCUCCUGGACAAGAUCACAGAGAGUCAGUGACUGGCACACAGACAUUGUGGAGCCAAGAGAUAAUUGGUUCCCCCUCAAUCAUCCCUUCACAUGGUUUAAAAGUCAUGUUUACAUAUGAAGACAAGCUUGACUUCUCCCCUUUUUGUGGCCCAAGUAACUGAACCCUGACAGAGAACAGAUAACUGCAGACGGCCAACACUAUAGUACAACAAAAUACAUUCUAAAUGACAAGUAUCUCACAAGCAUAUUAUGAAAAUAAAACAUCUUAUCUAUGUUACCUAAAGAAUUCUGAUUCUGCAUGAAUACAAUCAUGUGGGACCCUGUCAGUCUAUUUAUUAUAUUUAAAUAAUAAAUUAUUGUUUUUUAUUUUAAUAAUUUAUUAUUUAUAUUUUGUGUUUCCCUUUUGUACCUCUGUUGAACUGUAUUGCCGGUCUACUUGAAAAAGCAGUAAAAAAAAUAUUAUUGAAAAUGUGAAUAAAAACAUAUUUUGUAUAACUAAUAAUUUCGUUCUUGUCAAUGAGAGUGGAUUUAUAAUAUCUUAUAUAACCAUCAGAGGGGAUGCACAUUAAACUUGUUGCUGAUCAGUCACAUGAUAAUAACUA